Long non-coding RNA from Oncorhynchus tshawytscha (Chinook salmon), 517 nucleotides. The record is from Ensembl. Lineage: Eukaryota; Metazoa; Chordata; Actinopteri; Salmoniformes; Salmonidae.
GUCUGUUAUUAGCUAUUGUUAAGACUGUCUGUUAUUAGUUAUUGUUAAGACGGUCUGUUAUUAGUUAUUGUUAAGACGGUCUGUUAUUAGUUAUUGUUAAGACGGUCUGUUAUUAGUUAUUGUUAAGACGGUCUGUUAUUAGUUAUUGUUAAGGCGGUCUGUUAUUAGUUAUUGUUAAGGCUGGCUUCUCAGAUACUUUUAUCUCUUAUCUUUUUAAAACACACAGAGGAUGUAGAAAAACAUUGUCACUAAACUGUAUUGUACAUACAAACACAGGCAGAAUACACAAACACAGGCAGAAUACACAAGCACAGGCAGAAUACACAGGCAGAAUACACAGGCAGAAUACACAAACACAGGCAGAAUACACAGGCAGAAUACACAAACACAGGCAGAAUACACAGGCAGAAUACACAAGCACAGGCAGAAUACACAAGCACAGGCAGAAUACACAAGCACAGGCAGAAUACACAAACACAGGCAGAAUACACAAACACAGGCAGAAUACACAAACACA